AACGCGAAGAACCUUACCAGGUCUUGACAUCCUCUGACACUCCUAGAGAUAGGACGUUCCCCUUCGGGGGACAGAGUGACAGGUGGUGCAUGGUUGUCGUCAGCUCGUGUCGUGAGAUGUUGGGUUAAGUCCCGCAACGAGCGCAACCCUUGAUCUUAGUUGCCAGCAUUCAGUUGGGCACUCUAAGGUGACUGCCGGUGACAAACCGGAGGAAGGUGGGGAUGACGUCAAAUCAUCAUGCCCCUUAUGACCUGGGCUACACACGUGCUACAAUGGAUGGUACAAAGGGUCGCAAAGCCGCAAGGUCUAGCCAAUCCCAUAAAACCAUUCUCAGUUCGGAUUGCAGGCUGCAACUCGCCUGCAUGAAGCCGGAAUCGCUAGUAAUCGCGGAUCAGCAUGCCGCGGUGAAUACGUUCCCGGGCCUUGUA
This 428-nucleotide ribosomal RNA is filed under the name uncultured Bacillota bacterium. Its description in RNAcentral is "bacterial SSU rRNA". It matches the Rfam family "Bacterial small subunit ribosomal RNA", at positions 958 to 1385 of the family's 1533-position model. Lineage: Bacteria; Bacillati; Bacillota. The record is from RNAcentral.